This 375-nucleotide ribosomal RNA is filed under the name uncultured bacterium. Its description in RNAcentral is "bacterial SSU rRNA". It matches the Rfam family "Bacterial small subunit ribosomal RNA", at positions 523 to 898 of the family's 1533-position model. The record is from RNAcentral.
AUACGUAGGGAGCGAGCGUUGUCCGGAUUUACUGGGUGUAAAGGGUGCGUAGGCGGCUCUGCAAGUCAGGUGUGAAAACCGUCGGCUUAACUGAUGGACUGCAUUCGAAACUGUGGGGCUUGAGUGGAGUAGAGGCGGACGGAAUUCCCGGUGUAGCGGCGAAAUGCGUAGAGAUCGGGAAGAACACCAGUGGCGAAGGCGGUCUGCUGGGCUCUAACUGACGCUGAGGCACGAAAGCAUGGGUAGCAAACAGGAUUAGAUACCCUGGUAGUCCAUGCCGUAAACGAUGAUUCUAGGUGUGGGGAGUCUGACCCUCUCCGUGCCGGAGUUAACACAAUAAGUAAUCCACCUGGGAAGUACGACCGCAAGGUUGAA